RNAcentral lists this ribosomal RNA (691 nucleotides) under uncultured Sphaerochaeta sp. RNAcentral's name for it is "bacterial SSU rRNA". It matches the Rfam family "Bacterial small subunit ribosomal RNA", at positions 61 to 742 of the family's 1533-position model. Lineage: Bacteria; Pseudomonadati; Spirochaetota; Spirochaetia; Spirochaetales; Sphaerochaetaceae. The record is from RNAcentral.
GUCGAGCGGCAAGGGCCUUCGGGCCCCUAGAGCGGCGGACGGGUGAGUAACACGUGGACAAUCUGCCCCCCGGUCCGGGAUAGCCCAGGGAAACCUGGAUUAAUACCGGAUGAGACGGGACCCGCGGAGGCGGGAUCCGGGAAAGGCGCUGCGGCGCCGCCGGGGGAUGAGUCUGCGUCCCAUUAGCUAGACGGCGGGGUAACGGCCCACCGUGGCGACGAUGGGUAGCCGGCCUGAGAGGGUGGACGGCCACAUUGGAACUGAGACACGGUCCAGACUCCUACGGGAGGCAGCAGCUAAGAAUCUUCCGCAAUGGGCGAAAGCCUGACGGAGCGACGCCGCGUGAACGAAGAAGGCCGUGAGGUUGUAAAGUUCUUUUCGGGAGGGGGAACAACCGUGGCAGGGAAUGGCCGCGGGAUGACGUGAAUCCCGGAAUAAGCCCCGGCUAACUACGUGCCAGCAGCCGCGGUAACACGUAGGGGGCGAGCGUUGUUCGGAAUCAUUGGGCGUAAAGGGCGUGCAGGCGGUCCUGCAAGUCCGGCGUGAAAGACCCCGGCCCAACCGGGGGGACGCGCUGGAAACUGCAGGGCUUGAGUACAGGAGGGGAUGCCGGAAUUCCAGGUGUAGGGGUGAAAUCUGUAGAUAUCUGGAAGAACACCAAUGGCGAAGGCAGGCAUCUGGCCAUGUACUG